CCUACGGGGGGCAGCAGUGGGGAAUAUUGCACAAUGUGGGAAACCCUGAUGCAGCGACGCCGCGUGAAGGAAGAAGUAUUUCGGUAUGUAAACUUCUAUCAGCAGGGAAGAAAGUGACGGUACCUGACUAAGAAGCCCCGGCUAACUACGUGCCAGCAGCCGCGGUAAUACGUAGGGGGCAAGCGUUAUCCGGAUUUACUGGGUGUAAAGGGAGCGUAGGCGGCGGUGCAAAUCAGACGUGAAAGCCCUGGGCUCAACUCCGGGACUGCUUUUGAAACUGUAUGGCUAGAUUGCAGGAGAGGCAAGUGGAAUGCCUAGUGUAGCGGUGAAAUGCGUAGAUAUUAGGAGGAACACCAGUGGCGAAGGCGGCUUGCUGGACUGUAAAUGACGCUGAGGCUCGAAAGCGUGGGGAGCAAACAGGAUUAGAUACCCGAGUAGUC
Molecule: ribosomal RNA, 440 nt
Filed under: uncultured bacterium
Lineage: Bacteria
Description: partial 16S ribosomal RNA
Rfam family: Bacterial small subunit ribosomal RNA
Source: RNAcentral